UAGGGGAUCUUCGGCAAUGGGGGCAACCCUGACCGAGCAACGCCGCGUGAGUGAAGAAGGUUUUCGGAUCGUAAAGCUCUGUUGUAAGAGAAGAACGUGUGUGAGAGUGGAAAGUUCACACAGUGACGGUAACUUACCAGAAAGGGACGGCUAACUACGUGCCAG
RNAcentral lists this ribosomal RNA (165 nucleotides) under uncultured bacterium. RNAcentral's name for it is "partial 16S rRNA". It matches the Rfam family "Bacterial small subunit ribosomal RNA", at positions 355 to 511 of the family's 1533-position model. The record is from RNAcentral.